CACUCACUUUCCACUUUCUCCUCUUCCUUACUUCUUCUUCUCUGCACGCUGCUUGAGAAUGUUCUCCAUGGUGUUCUUCAAUGCUGACUUUUUGUUCCUUCUUCUUUGGGUAUUCAACAUCCUUCACGAAUUGGUGAUGAAGAGUGCUGAGAUCUUUAGCUCUCAAAGGUUUAUGUUCCACUACUUUUGGUUUUCUCCGUCCUUCUCUUUUAAUAGGCUGAUUCUUUCUUUCUUGUAGGUGUAAUUUUCGGUAUGAUUUCUUGUCGAGCUCAAUAGAGAGCGUGAGCCUUGCAUUCAGCUUUGAAUUUCCGUUUGCAGCCGAAUAGGAGUGACUCAAGGAACUCCCGUGCUUCUUCACCUCGAUUUCUCUGUUGGAUGCUCGUUUUGGAUUCAGAUACAACUCCUAGACUCUCACCUUUUGCUAGUCCAUGUACCACUGUUUGCUGGCUGAAAUAGCUUAGGAUUAGUUCCUUUACAGCUUUUUUGUUCCAGAAGUAGAUAGCAUCUAAAUUGUACAUAUCAUAGCUGUGGAACCCUGUAACUUCUAUGUUGUAUCUAAGCAUGAUGACCAUUGUUGUUGCUGUAAAUUCUCCUUGUUUUUAUCCUGACUGAAGGGACCUGAUGUUUAUCAAUGUUAAGAAUAUGUUUACCUUGCCUUGGUAGCUGA
Long non-coding RNA from Solanum tuberosum (potato), 667 nucleotides. RefSeq lists it as uncharacterized. NCBI's taxonomy places the organism in Eukaryota, Viridiplantae, Streptophyta, Magnoliopsida, Solanales, Solanaceae. The record is from RefSeq and is a predicted model, not a curated record. The transcript has 2 exons.